This 709-nucleotide ribosomal RNA is filed under the name Pseudarthrobacter sulfonivorans. Its description in RNAcentral is "bacterial SSU rRNA". It matches the Rfam family "Bacterial small subunit ribosomal RNA", at positions 120 to 839 of the family's 1533-position model. The record is from RNAcentral. Lineage: Bacteria; Bacillati; Actinomycetota; Actinomycetes; Micrococcales; Micrococcaceae.
AGUAACCUGCCCUUAACUCUGGGAUAAGCCUGGGAAACUGGGUCUAAUACCGGAUAUGACUCCUCAUCGCAUGGUGGGGGGUGGAAAGCUUUAUUGUGGUUUUGGAUGGACUCGCGGCCUAUCAGCUUGUUGGUGAGGUAAUGGCUCACCAAGGCGACGACGGGUAGCCGGCCUGAGAGGGUGACCGGCCACACUGGGACUGAGACACGGCCCAGACUCCUACGGGAGGCAGCAGUGGGGAAUAUUGCACAAUGGGCGAAAGCCUGAUGCAGCGACGCCGCGUGAGGGAUGACGGCCUUCGGGUUGUAAACCUCUUUCAGUAGGGAAGAAGCGAAAGUGACGGUACCUGCAGAAGAAGCGCCGGCUAACUACGUGCCAGCAGCCGCGGUAAUACGUAGGGCGCAAGCGUUAUCCGGAAUUAUUGGGCGUAAAGAGCUCGUAGGCGGUUUGUCGCGUCUGCCGUGAAAGUCCGGGGCUCAACUCCGGAUCUGCGGUGGGUACGGGCAGACUAGAGUGAUGUAGGGGAGACUGGAAUUCCUGGUGUAGCGGUGAAAUGCGCAGAUAUCAGGAGGAACACCGAUGGCGAAGGCAGGUCUCUGGGCAUUAACUGACGCUGAGGAGCGAAAGCAUGGGGAGCGAACAGGAUUAGAUACCCUGGUAGUCCAUGCCGUAAACGUUGGGCACUAGGUGUGGGGGACAUUCCACGUUU